CUGAACAUUGAGCCUUGAUGUGUAGGAUAGGUGGGAGGCUUUGAAGUGUGGACGCCAGUCUGCAUGGAGCCGACCUUGAAAUACCACCCUUUAAUGUUUGAUGUUCUAACGUGGAUCCGUAAUCCGGGUUGCGGACAGUGUCUGGUGGGUAGUUUGACUGGGGCGGUCUCCUCCUAAAGAGUAACGGAGGAGCACGAAGGUUGGCUAAUCCUGGUCGGACAUCAGGAGGUUAGUGCAAUGGCAUAAGCCAGCUUGACUGCGAGCGUGACGGCGCGAGCAGGUGCGAAAGCAGGUCAUAGUGAUCCGGUGGUUCUGAAUGGAAGGGCCAUCGCUCAACGGAUAAAAGGUACUCCGGGGAUAACAGGCUGAUACCGCCCAAGAGUUCAUAUCGACGGCGGUGUUUGGCACCUCGAUGUCGGCUCAUCACAUCCUGGGGCUGAAGUAGGUCCCAAGGGUAUGGCUGUUCGCCAUUUAAAGUGGUACGCGAGCUGGGUUUAGAACGUCGUGAGACAGUUCGGUCCCUAUCUGCCGUGGGCGCUGGAGAACUGAGGGGGGCUGCUCCUAGUACGAGAGGACCGGAGUGGACGCAUCACUGGUGUUCGGGUUGUCAUGCCAAUGGCACUGCCCGGUAGCUAAAUGCGGAAGAGAUAAGUGCUGAAAGCAUCUAAGCACGAAACUUGCCCCGA
This 686-nucleotide ribosomal RNA is filed under the name Salmonella enterica. RNAcentral describes it as "partial 23S ribosomal RNA". It matches the Rfam family "Bacterial large subunit ribosomal RNA", at positions 2117 to 2802 of the family's 2925-position model. The record is from RNAcentral. Lineage: Bacteria; Pseudomonadati; Pseudomonadota; Gammaproteobacteria; Enterobacterales; Enterobacteriaceae.